Molecule: ribosomal RNA, 774 nt
Filed under: Epilachna satipensis
Lineage: Eukaryota; Metazoa; Arthropoda; Insecta; Coleoptera; Coccinellidae
Description: partial 16S ribosomal RNA
Rfam family: Bacterial large subunit ribosomal RNA (bases 380-538)
Source: RNAcentral
CUCUUUUUGAAUAUAAUAUAAAGUCGGGCCUGCCCACUGAAAUUUGAAGGGCCGCAGUAUUUUGACUGUGCAAAGGUAGCAUAAUCAUUAGUUUUUUAAUUGAAAGCUUGUAUGAAUGGUUUGAUGAGAAAAUAUCUGUUUCAAUUUUAAUUUAUAGAACUUAAUUUUUAAGUAAAAAAGCUUAAAUCUUAUUUAAAGACGAGAAGACCCUAUAGAGUUUUACUAAUAAUAUAAUUAUAUAUUAUAGAAUUAUUUAUUUAUAUUUAUAUAAAGGUUUUGUUGGGGUGACAAAAAAAUUAAAUAAACUUUUUUUAUAUAAAUACAAUAAUUAUUGAAUUUUUGAUCCAUUAAAAUGAUUAUAAGAUUAAAUUACCUUAGGGAUAACAGCGUAAUUUUUUUUAAGAGUUCUUAUUUAAAAAAAAGAUUGCGACCUCGAUGUUGGAUUAAAAUUAAUUUUUGGUGAAGAAGCUAAAAAAUUGGGUCUGUUCGACCUUUGAAAUUUUACAUGAUCUGAGUUUAAACCGGUGUGAGCCAGGUUGGUUUCUAUCUUAAAUUUAUUUAAUAUUUUAGUACGAAAGGAUCAAAUAUUAUAUUAAUAAUAAUUAAUUUAUAGAAUUUUAUUUUGGCAGAUUAGUGCAAAGGAUUUAGAAUCUUUUUAUGUAUUUAUAUACAAAUAAAAAUUGAUUUAAUUUUAAUUUUCUUAAAUUUUUUAAUUUUAAUUAUUAGGGUUCUAGUAGGGUUAGCUUUUUUAACUUUGCUUGAACGUAAAUUAUU